Molecule: unclassified non-coding RNA, 265 nt
Filed under: uncultured fungus
Lineage: Eukaryota; Fungi
Description: partial contains small subunit ribosomal RNA, internal transcribed spacer 1, and 5.8S ribosomal RNA
Rfam family: Eukaryotic small subunit ribosomal RNA (bases 1-73)
Source: RNAcentral
GCAAACUUGGUCAUUUAGAGGAAGUAAAAGUCGUAACAAGGUUUCCGUAGGUGAACCUGCGGAAGGAUCAUCAUUGAGAUAAUAUACUAACGGUCUGAUGCAGUGUGCAUGGUUCUCUUAGGUUUGCUUCGUGCGCCUAAUGAGGUGAUCAUGUACAUUGUCUCAUUCCUUAUACAAAUUCAUUUUGAACUGAUACAUUUUAUUAAAUAAAAAUACAACUUUCAACAAUGGAUCUCUUGGCUCCCGCAUCGAUGAAGAACGCAGC